GACGAACGCUGGCGGCGUGCUUAACACAUGCAAGUCGAACGGAAAGGCCCUGCUUUUGUGGGGUGCUCGAGUGGCGAACGGGUGAGUAACACGUGAGUAACCUGCCCUUGACUUUGGGAUAACUUCAGGAAACUGGGGCUAAUACCGGAUAGGAGCUCCUGCUGCAUGGUGGGGGUUGGAAAGUUUCGGCGGUUGGGGAUGGACUCGCGGCUUAUCAGCUUGUUGGUGGGGUAGUGGCUUACCAAGGCUUUGACGGGUAGCCGGCCUGAGAGGGUGACCGGCGACAUUGGAACUGAGAUACGGCCCAGACUCCUACGGGAGGCAGCAGUGGGGAAUAUUGCACAAUGGGCGGAAGCCUGAUGCAGCAACGCCGCGUGCGGGAUGACGGCCUUCGGGUUGUAAACCGCUUUCGCCUGUGACGAAGCGUGAGUGACGGUAAUGGGUAAAGAAGCACCGGCUAACUACGUG
Molecule: ribosomal RNA, 468 nt
Filed under: uncultured bacterium
Lineage: Bacteria
Description: partial 16S ribosomal RNA
Rfam family: Bacterial small subunit ribosomal RNA
Source: RNAcentral